GAGGGCCGGAUGGCCGCGGCGGUCGCACGCCGAGGAAAGUCCGGACUCCAGGGAGCGACGGUGCCGGGUAACGCCCGGGCGGAGAGAUCCGACGGAAAGCGCCGCAGAAAACAGACCGCCCGCGCCGCGCGCGGGUCAGGGUGAAACGGUGGGGUAAGAGCCCACCGGGGUCCCGGCGACGGGACCCGCACGGCAAGCCCCACCGGGAGCAAUGCCGAAUAGGGACCUCGCGCGGGGCGCCGCCCCGCAGGGCCGCUCCCGCCCGAGAGGUCCGGGUUGGCAGCGUGAGCGCCGGAGCGAUCCGGCGCCCAGACGAAUGGUCAUCCAGGGGGCGUGCGCGUCCCCGGACAGGAUCCGGCUUACAGGCCCUCC
RNAcentral lists this RNase P RNA (372 nucleotides) under Rhodosalinus sediminis. RNAcentral describes it as "Bacterial RNase P class A". It matches the Rfam family "Bacterial RNase P class A". From Rfam's summary of the family: Ribonuclease P (RNase P) is a ubiquitous endoribonuclease, found in archaea, bacteria and eukarya as well as chloroplasts and mitochondria. The record is from RNAcentral. Lineage: Bacteria; Pseudomonadati; Pseudomonadota; Alphaproteobacteria; Rhodobacterales; Paracoccaceae.